Molecule: ribosomal RNA, 443 nt
Filed under: uncultured bacterium
Lineage: Bacteria
Description: partial 16S ribosomal RNA
Rfam family: Bacterial small subunit ribosomal RNA
Source: RNAcentral
CCUACGGGUGGCAGCAGUGGGGGAUAUUGGACAAUGGGGGGAACCCUGAUCCAGCGACGCCGCGUGAGUGAAGAAGUAUUUCGGUAUGUAAAGCUCUGUUAGCAGGGAAGAAAGCAAUGACGGUACCUGACCAAGAAACCCCGGCUAACUACGUGCCAGCAGCCGCUGUAAUACGUAGGGGGCGAGCGUUAUCCGGAUUUACUGGUUGUAAAGGGGGCGUAGGCGGCUUGGCAAGUCUGGAGUGAAAGUCGGGGGCCCAACCCCCGGACUGCUGUGGAAACUGGAUGGCUGGAGUGCAGGAGAGGUGAGCGGAAUUCGUGGUGUAGCGGUGAAAUGCGUAGAUAUUAGGAGGAACACCAGUGGCGAAGGCGGCUUACUGGACUGUAACUGACGUUGAGGCUCGAAAGCGUGGGGAGCAAACAGGAUUAGAUACCCGGGUAGUC